RNAcentral lists this unclassified non-coding RNA (699 nucleotides) under Leishmania donovani. Its description in RNAcentral is "gene:unknown". The record is from RNAcentral. Lineage: Eukaryota; Euglenozoa; Kinetoplastea; Trypanosomatida; Trypanosomatidae.
CCGUUUCUCUCGCACCAGGUAUGAGUGCCAUUGGGCCCUCUCGUAUGUGGUCCCACAGCGAUUCCUGAUCGCCAUCCAGUGCACGGGCAAUGGAUUUUGGCUUCGCCGAACGUCGGAAUCCAGAGCCCCUCUCCGCGACGGGUGUCAGCCGGGGAAACUUCCAACCUCAUACAGCUGGAUUCGACGUUUUUUUUUUUUCGCUUCUCAACGCAACUCGUCUGUGCCACACAACAUCAGUGAAACUCCACUGGACUCUUGGCCCAUGUCGUGGUGCGAGGAAGCCGGGGAUGUGCGAUACACGAUUCCCACCUCAGCCAUCUGAGCACUCCCUCGGUCUUGAACUGUACCCACCACGGCCGCCUCGCAGGUUUCCCCAGAGCCGCUCCUCCCAGCAUGCUGGCCGAUACCGAUGGUGUAUCUCUCUCUGGGGCGGCUGAGGCCUCCCACACCAGUUGGCGGUGUGAGCGCGGGGGCGGGGGUAACAGGUACGUUCGAGUUGCGCGGACACACUCUGCCUAAUCCUAUGGAUGGCGCACGCGUGUUCGCUGUCGCGGGCCGCUUGGAUACAAUGCCAUCCAGGCCCUGACUGCGGCCGAUAGCUCUGACUCCUCCCCACAUUUCAGGAACGAGGCCCUGCGAUUUCACACGCGCUGAGGUGUGCGCUGCCACCAGGGGAGCAGCGUGAGUGCUGAAAUCCUC